CCUACGGGAGGCAGCAGUCGAGAAUCAUUCACAAUGGGGGAAACCCUGAUGGUGCGACGCCGCGUGGGGGAAUGAAGGUCUUCGGAUUGUAAACCCCUGUCAUGUGGGAGCAAAUUAAAAAGAUAGUACCACAAGAGGAAGAGACGGCUAACUCUGUGCCAGCAGCCGCGGUAAUACAGAGGUCUCAAGCGUUGUUCGGAAUCACUGGGCGUAAGGCGUGCGUAGGCUGUUUCGUAAGUCGUGUGUGAAAGGCGCGGGCUCAACCCGCGGACGGCACAUGAUACUGCGAGACUAGAGUAAUGGAGGGGGAACCGGAAUGCUCGGUGUAGCAGUGAAAUGCGUAGAUAUCGAGAGGAACACUCGUGGCGAAGGCGGGUUCCUGGACAUUAACUGACGCUGAGGCACGAAGGCCAGGGGAGCGAAAGGGAUUAGAUACCCUAGUAGUC
Molecule: ribosomal RNA, 446 nt
Filed under: uncultured bacterium
Lineage: Bacteria
Description: partial 16S ribosomal RNA
Rfam family: Bacterial small subunit ribosomal RNA
Source: RNAcentral